This 2540-nucleotide long non-coding RNA is filed under the name Manihot esculenta (cassava). Its description in RNAcentral is "long non-coding RNA (MESC_LNC007773)". The stretch from base 445 to 593 matches the Rfam family "Small nucleolar RNA snoR145". Lineage: Eukaryota; Viridiplantae; Streptophyta; Magnoliopsida; Malpighiales; Euphorbiaceae. The record is from RNAcentral.
AUAGCCCAGCGCUAGCAUCUAGGGUUACGCCGCUUAUCCGCCUCUUAUACGCCGCUUCCGGCGGCUUUGUCGUAAGAGAUAAAAAGAAUGGAAGAGAUGCGAUGACGAUAAUAGAGUUGAGAAAUCUCAUUAUCGAUUGUGUGAUGGUUUCAUAACCAUACCGCAAGAUGAAUCUCUAGUUCUGGUUCGUAUUCACUGAGCGUCUUCUUCUAUGUCUUCUUCUUCUUCUUUUUCUUUUCUCUUCAAUAAUUUUCCAUUAGAGAGGAAACGAGGGGACCUAUGGAGGGGGUGCAAUGAGAAAUGCACUCUUAUCCAAGUUUACCUUCGAAGAUCGGUGUCGAUGGAGGAUCUGGUGAGCUGUGAUCUCUUUGAAAUGAUUGGUUCUUAGAUCCGAUUUGUCGUACACAUAGAAUGUGUAUAUUUUAUGAAAUAUAGUAAUUUUAUGAGCGAAGGUCCCAGCAGAGAGGUAAGAGACUCUGAAUUGAGGCCUCUCGAACUAUAAUACAAACCUUCGCAGAUUAAUUUGCCGAAUCGUAGGAUGCCCAGAAUUAUUUUCCAUUUCUGUUGCAUCUGGAACCCUCGGCUAUAUCUAUACUUGAAUGUUUAACUCCUCUUAUUUUCAUUUGUUCUCGAGUAUAGGUUGCUCAUAUAUGCCUUUCAAAAUCUUUCGAAUUUGCUUCGUUAAUUCGACAAGAUGAUUUGCCAUCUUCUCUUUCAUGUUUUGAUUGAAUUGAUGAGGUAUGGCAUGUAUUUUAAGGCCUAACCAGACCUUUCUUGUCCACAAGCCUUGUUUAACAACGGUGAUUUGGGCAGAUAUUUUAAUGAAUGACAGUUAAAAUGAUGUAGGUCACACCUUUAAAUUUAUAUUAUUAAAUUUUUAUUCGAAAUUAUGUUUAAGUGUUGGUGGAUCAGAAACUUUCUCAGAAAUUCCUGAAUCAAAUUUUAGCCGGCUCUAAUGGAUAAUCCUCUGUUUUCUCGCGGAACAAAGUAAAAGAUUAUACAUGUAUAGUUAAGGGAUUUGGAGUAUCAAGAUUUACAUAAAUUUAGAAGUUAAUAAGGAAAUGAACUCCAUUGCUAGAGAAAAUUCAUAAUUCAGAGCAACAAUUCAUCAUAUUAGUCCUUCGUGGGGAAUGGAUCCAAAUAGCAACUACUUGAGGACAUGAGAUGAUUGAGGGUCUCUUUGUUACCGCAGAAAUUGCAGUAACGGCGCGAUACGUUUUCAGCGCUGAUAAUGGUAGCCUCUAUACGAAGAUUCUAGGUUGAUUUUUGAAUGUGAAUGUUAGGGCCUGGCUUGCCAUGUAAUGACUGGUAAUUUGAGAGUUGGAUAUGGCGAGGUAAUUUGUAACUCUAUCCGAAUACUGAUAAUUAUCCUCGAAGGGACUCGAUAGGUCAUUCCUAGGCUACGAGCUAAUGGGGAUGCCAAGGAUGUGCUUAGCGUCGUCCUAAAUUAAGUCUGCUUUCAGCCUAUGAAUAUUAACAAGCAUGAGAUGAUGGAUGGAAAAUUUGAGACACCUUAACAACUCUCGAGAAAGAGAGAGGGGGAGAAACGCAGAGAGGGAGAGAAAGGGAGAGAUAUACCCUGAGCAAGUCGUCCAAGUGCGUGCUAUGAACAAGUUCCCCAAAUAAAAACACGAUAAAUGUAUUGCCUCUUUGCAAGAAAAUAUGAGGCUGCCUUUGUCUUAAAACCUCCAAAAAUCGCCUAUCCUCUUCUAAAAUGGAGCUCCUUUCGUCACUCCUACGGCACCUGCAUCCUCUGCUGGCCAACUCUUUUCUUUCAAAGUUUCUUUUCAUUUUCAAGAGGAUGAAUGAGAGAACAAGGGAGAUAGGCGUAUUUAUUUGUGGAUGAUUAUUAAGGAGUGACAUUGCCAGCAAUGAGGUUGAGUAGCCUAUGUGAGCUUGACAUGAAAUAUAUUCAAAGGAAUGGCUGAACUCAUGGGUUCUUUCUUACUCAUUCAACGGAAGGUGAACGGAAAUUAAGGAGUUUGUUGAACCAAAAAUUUUAUCGAGAGCAUAAGUCAACUUUUUAAAAUUUAUCAAGAGUUAAAAAAAUGUCAUUUGCUUAUAUCAUACAACUUUCAAAUAAUUUAAAUGUGUAUUAUAUAUAUAAUAUAAUUUGUAAUAAUAAUUAAGUUUAAAAUGUAAAUGACAUUUCAAAUAUGACUUUUUCAUGAAAAAAUUAUAUAAAUCAUCCGUAAUAAAUUGAAUUAAAUUAGAAUUGAAGAAUCGAAAAUAUCGAAAAUUCAAAAUAACAAAGAGCCGAACCCACACAGUAUCAAAUUUUGAUUUGAUUUUAAUUUCUAAGUAAACUUUUAAUUGAAAUCAAAACCAGAAUUGUACACUCCAAAAUAAAGCAACCAAAUAAUCUUUUCCUUGUGAAUGAAAGAUAUAAUGAAGAUAAUUCAUAUUUGUUUGUCUCAAUAAGUUUAAGUCUACAUCUAUAUUUUUUAAUAUAAAUGGCAACCGAUUGCCAAUUUUUAGGCAUCCCACCUUGCUAAACUUAAUAGGAUUAAUUUAGAUAAUAUAUAAUAAACUUGAAACGG